Small nucleolar RNA from Aotus nancymaae (Ma's night monkey), 127 nucleotides. The record is from Ensembl. Lineage: Eukaryota; Metazoa; Chordata; Mammalia; Primates; Aotidae.
GGGGUGUGCUCAGGGCAGGGGCCUGACGAGCGGCUCCUCCCUUUUAAACACACGCAAAAGGAGUCUGAGGUCACAGGGACGAGGGGAACAAAUUUGUGGCCUCCCCAUGAGCAAAUGCCCCACACAU